UACGUAGGGGGCAAGCGUUGUCCGGAAUCAUUGGGCGUAAAGAGCGUGUAGGCGGUUCGGUAAGUCGGCUGUGAAAAUCCAGGGCUCAACCCUGGGAUGCCGGUCGAUACUGCCGGACUAGAGUUCGGAAGAGGCGAGUGGAAUUCCCGGUGUAGCGGUGAAAUGCGCAGAUAUCGGGAGGAACACCUAUGGCGAAGGCAGCUCGCUGGGACGUUACUGACGCUGAGGCACGAAAGCAUGGGGAUCAAACAGG
RNAcentral lists this ribosomal RNA (253 nucleotides) under uncultured bacterium. Its description in RNAcentral is "partial 16S ribosomal RNA". It matches the Rfam family "Bacterial small subunit ribosomal RNA", at positions 524 to 776 of the family's 1533-position model. The record is from RNAcentral.